AUUGAACGCUGGCGGCAUGCCUUACACAUGCAAGUCGAACGGCAGCACGGGAGCAAUCCUGGUGGCGAGUGGCGAACGGGUGAGUAAUAUAUCGGAACGUGCCCAGUCGUGGGGGAUAACGUAGCGAAAGCUACGCUAAUACCGCAUACGAUCCAUGGAUGAAAGCGGGGGAUCGCAAGACCUCGCGCGAUUGGAGCGGCCGAUAUCAGAUUAGGAGUUGGUGGGGUAAAAGCCCACCAAGCCGACGAUCUGUAGCUGGUCUGAGAGGACGACCAGCCACACUGGAACUGAGACACGGUCCAGACUCCUACGGGAGGCAGCAGUGGGGAAUUUUGGACAAUGGGCGAAAGCCUGAUCCAGCAAUGCCGCGUGCAGGAUGAAGG
Molecule: ribosomal RNA, 383 nt
Filed under: uncultured bacterium
Lineage: Bacteria
Description: bacterial SSU rRNA
Rfam family: Bacterial small subunit ribosomal RNA
Source: RNAcentral